UACGAAGGUUGCAAGCGUUACUCGGAAUUACUGGGCGUAAAGCGUGCGUAGGUGGUUCGUUAAGUCUGAUGUGAAAGCCCUGGGCUCAACCUGGGAAUGGCAUUGGAAACUGGCGACCUAGAGUGCGGUAGAGGGUAGUGGAAUUCCCGGUGUAGCAGUGAAAUGCGUAGAGAUCGGGAGGAACAUCCGUGGCGAAGGCGACUACCUGGACCAGUAUUGACGCUGAGGAGCGAAAGCGUGGGGAGCGAACAGG
RNAcentral lists this ribosomal RNA (253 nucleotides) under uncultured bacterium. RNAcentral describes it as "partial 16S ribosomal RNA". It matches the Rfam family "Bacterial small subunit ribosomal RNA", at positions 524 to 776 of the family's 1533-position model. The record is from RNAcentral.